AGAGUUUGAUCCUGGCUCAGAACGAACGCUGGCGGCAUGGCUAAGACAUGCAAGUCGAACGGACUAUAUGAUUGAGUAAUCUUGAUUAUAGUUAGUGGCGAAAGGGCGAGGAAUAAAUAGGUAACGUACCCCGAACUCCAGGAUAGCGUCUAGAUACUUCGGUAUCUUUCCGAAGGGGGCAGUAAUACUGGAUGAUAUCAUCUGUUUAAUGCAGAUGAUCAAAGAUUUAUCGGUUUGGGCGCGGCCUAUUUCCCAUCAGCUUGUUGGUAAGGUAACGGCUUACCAAGGCAACGACGGGUAUCGGGACUGAGAGGUUGACCCGACGCAUCGGAACUGAGACACUGUCCGGACCUCCACGGAGGGCUGCAGUAACGAAUAUUGCACAAUGGGCGCAAGCCUGAUGCAGCAAUGCCGCGUGUAGGAUGAAGCUCCUCGGAGUGUAAACUACUGUCAGGGGGUAGAAAGUGCGCUCGGCGUAUGAUAGCCCAGAGGAAGUCACG
This 500-nucleotide ribosomal RNA is filed under the name uncultured Planctomycetota bacterium. RNAcentral describes it as "bacterial SSU rRNA". It matches the Rfam family "Bacterial small subunit ribosomal RNA", at positions 8 to 495 of the family's 1533-position model. The record is from RNAcentral. Lineage: Bacteria; Pseudomonadati; Planctomycetota.